This 1431-nucleotide ribosomal RNA is filed under the name uncultured organism. RNAcentral describes it as "partial small subunit ribosomal RNA". It matches the Rfam family "Bacterial small subunit ribosomal RNA". The record is from RNAcentral.
UCGGCGUGCUUAACACAUGCAAGUCGAACGGAAAGGCCCUGCUUUUGUGGGGUGCUCGAGUGGCGAACGGGUGAGUAACACGUGAGUAACCUGCCCUUGACUUUGGGAUAACUUCAGGAAACUGGGGCUAAUACCGGAUAGGAGCUCCUGCUGCAUGGUGGGGGUUGGAAAGUUUCGGCGGUUGGGGAUGGACUCGCGGCUUAUCAGCUUGUUGGUGGGGUAGUGGCUUACCAAGGCUUUGACGGGUAGCCGGCCUGAGAGGGUGACCGGCCACAUUGGGACUGAGAUACGGCCCAGACUCCUACGGGAGGCAGCAGUGGGGAAUAUUGCACAAUGGGCGGAAGCCUGAUGCAGCAACGCCGCGUGCGGGAUGACGGCCUUCGGGUUGUAAACCGCUUUCGCCUGUGACGAAGCGUGAGUGACGGUAAUGGGUAAAGAAGCACCGGCUAACUACGUGCCAGCAGCCGCGGUGAUACGUAGGGUGCGAGCGUUGUCCGGAUUUAUUGGGCGUAAAGGGCUCGUAGGUGGUUGAUCGCGUCGGAAGUGUAAUCUUGGGGCUUAACCCUGAGCGUGCUUUCGAUACGGGUUGACUUGAGGAAGGUAGGGGAGAAUGGAAUUCCUGGUGGAGCGGUGGAAUGCGCAGAUAUCAGGAGGAACACCAGUGGCGAAGGCGGUUCUCUGGGCCUUUCCUGACGCUGAGGAGCGAAAGCGUGGGGAGCGAACAGGCUUAGAUACCCUGGUAGUCCACGCUGUAAACGGUGGGUACUAGGUGUGGGGUCCAUUCCACGGGUUCCGUGCCGUAGCUAACGCUUUAAGUACCCCGCCUGGGGAGUACGGCCGCAAGGCUAAAACUCAAAGGAAUUGACGGGGCCCCGCACAAGCGGCGGAGCAUGCGGAUUAAUUCGAUGCAACGCGUAGAACCUUACCUGGGUUUGACAUGGAUCGGGAGUGCUCAGAGAUGGGUGUGCCUCUUUUGGGGUCGGUUCACAGGUGGUGCAUGGCUGUCGUCAGCUCGUGUCGUGAGAUGUUGGGUUAAGUCCCGCAACGAGCGCAACCCUUGUUCACUGUUGCCAGCACGUUAUGGUGGGGACUCAGUGGAGACCGCCGGGGUCAACUCGGAGGAAGGUGGGGAUGACGUCAAGUCAUCAUGCCCCUUAUGUCCAGGGCUUCACGCAUGCUACAAUGGCUGGUACAGAGAGUGGCGAGCCUGUGAGGGUGAGCGAAUCUCGGAAAGCCGGUCUCAGUUCGGAUUGGGGUCUGCAACUCGACCUCAUGAAGUCGGAGUCGCUAGUAAUCGCAGAUCAGCAACGCUGCGGUGAAUACGUUCCCGGGGCUUGUACACACCGCCCGUCAAGUCAUGAAAGUUGGUAACACCCGAAGCCGGUGGCCUAACCGUUGUGGGGGAGCCGUCGAAGGUGGGACUGGUGAUUA